This 503-nucleotide ribosomal RNA is filed under the name uncultured bacterium. RNAcentral describes it as "partial 16S ribosomal RNA". It matches the Rfam family "Bacterial small subunit ribosomal RNA", at positions 30 to 523 of the family's 1533-position model. The record is from RNAcentral.
AUUGAACGCUGGCGGCAGGCUUAACACAUGCAAGUCGAGCGGGGUGAUGGUGCUUGCACUAUCACUUAGCGGCGGACGGGUGAGUAAUGCUUAGGAAUCUGCCUAUUAGUGGGGGACAACAUCUCGAAAGGGAUGCUAAUACCGCAUACGUCCUACGGGAGAAAGCAGGGGAUCACUUGUGACCUUGCGCUAAUAGAUGAGCCUAAGUCGGAUUAGCUAGUUGGUGGGGUAAAGGCCUACCAAGGCGACGAUCUGUAGCGGGACUGAGAGGAUGAUUCGCCACACUGGGACUGAGACACGGCCCAGACUCCUACGGGAGGCAGCAGUGGGGAAUAUUGGACAAUGGGGGAAACCCUGAUCCAGCCAUGCCGCGUGUGUGAAGAAGGCCUUAUGGUUGUAAAGCACUUUAAGCGAGGAGGAGGCUCUUUUGGUUAAUACCCAAGAUGAGUGGACGUUACUCGCAGAAUAAGCACCGGCUAACUCUGUGCCAGCAGCCGCCGUAA